GUAGUUAAUAUUAGGCCCUUUUCGCCGAGGGAUCGGGUUAAGGGGAGGCUAAGAAAGUCGCAUAACAAUUGAAUCAAUCAACUAAUAGUCAAGGGUAGUAUGUAAGAGAGAGUGGAAUAGAUGAAAUUGUUAGUACCCAACAACAUCCAUCCAUCCAUUGUUUUCGUUUCUCAAUUGAAUCAACUUUAUUUUUGCAUGUUAAUAUUU
RNAcentral lists this long non-coding RNA (207 nucleotides) under Vigna radiata. RNAcentral describes it as "long non-coding RNA (VRAD_LNC014619)". The record is from RNAcentral. Lineage: Eukaryota; Viridiplantae; Streptophyta; Magnoliopsida; Fabales; Fabaceae.